GUAAUGGCCUACCAAGGCAUCGACGGGUAGCUGGUCUGAGAGGACGAUCGCCACACUGGGACUGAGACACGGCCCAGACAUCUACGGAUGGCAGCAGUGGGGAAUAUUGCGCAAUGGGCGAAAGCCUGACGCAGCAACGCCGCGUGAGGGAUGACAGCUUUCGGGUUGUAAACCUCUUUCAGUGAUGACGAAAAUGACGGUAAUCACAGAAGAAGGUCCGGCCAACUACGUGCCAGCAGCCGCGGUAACACGUAGGGGCCAAGCGUUGUCCGGAUUUAUUGGGCGUAAAGAGCUCGUAGGCGGUUUCGUAAGUCGGAUGUGAAAACUCAGGGCUCAACCCUGAGACGCCAUCUGAUACUGCGAUGACUGGAGUCCGGUAGGGGAGCAUGGAAUUCCUGGUGUAGCGGUGGAAUGCGCAGAUAUCAGGAGGAACACCAAUGGCGAAGGCAGUGCUCUGGGCCGGUACUGACGCUGAGGAGCGAAAGCAUGGGGAGCAAACAGGAUUAGAUACCCUGGUAGCCCAUGCCGUAAACGUUGGGCACUAGGUGUGG
This 551-nucleotide ribosomal RNA is filed under the name uncultured Actinomycetes bacterium. RNAcentral describes it as "bacterial SSU rRNA". It matches the Rfam family "Bacterial small subunit ribosomal RNA", at positions 257 to 825 of the family's 1533-position model. Lineage: Bacteria; Bacillati; Actinomycetota; Actinomycetes. The record is from RNAcentral.